This 700-nucleotide ribosomal RNA is filed under the name uncultured bacterium. RNAcentral describes it as "bacterial SSU rRNA". It matches the Rfam family "Bacterial small subunit ribosomal RNA", at positions 79 to 775 of the family's 1533-position model. The record is from RNAcentral.
CUUGCACUCUGCCGGCGCACCGGCGCACGGGUGCGGAACGCGUAUGGAAUCUACCUCUAUCUGGGGGAUACCCCAUGGAAACGUGGAAUAAUACCCCAUAGUAUCACUUAAUCGCAUGAUUGAGUGAUUAAAGAAUUUCGGAUAGAGAUGACCAUGCGUAUCAUUAGCUAGUAGGUGAGGUAACGGCUCACCUAGGCAACGAUGAUUAGGGGUCCUGAGAGGGAGAUCCCCCACACUGGUACUGAGACACGGACCAGACUCCUACGGGAGGCAGCAGUGAGGAAUAUUGGACAAUGGUCGAAAGACUGAUCCAGCCAUGCCGCGUGCAGGAUGAAUGCCCUAUGGGUUGUAAACUGCUUUUAUACGGGAAGAACACCACCUACGUGUAGGUGACUGACGGUACCGUAAGAAUAAGGACCGGCUAACUCCGUGCCAGCAGCCGCGGUAAUACGGAGGGUCCAAGCGUUAUCCGGAAUCAUUGGGUUUAAAGGGUCCGUAGGCGGGCUAUUAAGUCAGGGGUGAAAGUUUGCAGCUCAACUGUAAAAUUGCCUUUGAUACUGAUAGUCUUGAAUUGUAGUGAAGUGGUUAGAAUAUGUGGUGUAGCGGUGAAAUGCAUAGAUAUCACAUAGAAUACCGAUUGCGAAGGCAGAUCACUAACUAUAUAUUGACGCUGAGGGACGAAAGCGUGGGGAGCGAACGG